RNAcentral lists this ribosomal RNA (253 nucleotides) under uncultured bacterium. RNAcentral's name for it is "partial 16S ribosomal RNA". It matches the Rfam family "Bacterial small subunit ribosomal RNA", at positions 524 to 776 of the family's 1533-position model. The record is from RNAcentral.
UACAGAGGGUGCAAGCGUUGUUCGGAAUUAUUGGGCGUAAAGGGCGCGUAGGCGGUGCUGUAAGUCUGUGGUGAAAUCUCUGGGCUCAACUCAGAGUCUGCCAUAGAAACUGCAGUGCUGGAGUGUGGGAGAGGUGAGUGGAAUUCCCGGUGUAGCGGUGAAAUGCGUAGAGAUCGGGUGGAACACCAGCGGCGAAGGCGGCAUCCUGGCCCUGUUCUGACGCUGAGGCGCGAUAGCGUGGGGAGCAAACGGG